This 253-nucleotide ribosomal RNA is filed under the name uncultured bacterium. Its description in RNAcentral is "partial 16S ribosomal RNA". It matches the Rfam family "Bacterial small subunit ribosomal RNA", at positions 524 to 776 of the family's 1533-position model. The record is from RNAcentral.
UACGAAGGGUGCAAGCGUUGCUCGGAAUUAUUGGGCGUAAAGGGUAGGUAGGUGGUGAUAUUUGUCUGGGGUGAAAUCCCUGAGCUUAACUCAGGACGUGCCUUGGAAACGGUAUCACUAGAGUACUGGAGAGGUUCGUAGAAUUCCUGGUGUAGCGGUGAAAUGCGUAGAGAUCAGGAAGAACACCUAUGGCGAAGGCAGCACUCUGGGACGGUACUGACGCUGAGACGCGAAAGCGUGGGGAGCGAACAGG